GAAAUUGUAGCAGUGAUACUUUAGAAUGAAUAUGGUGAAAAAAAUGAUUACAAUUACUCUGAACAAUUAACCUACAUAUCCAUAUAUUAUCACACCAUAGACCUAGCCCCAUUACAACCUGAAAAUACCUCAAAAAGUGUGUGUAAUGUGUAAUUGAUAAUUGAGAUAGAGCUUAUGCAAGCAUAUGGUAUGAUAACGCGUACUGUGAGUUUUGAGUGCAUAUACAUUAACACUUGAGAGAACUGGUGAGAGUAUGAAUAGG
Molecule: long non-coding RNA, 262 nt
Filed under: Lathyrus oleraceus (garden pea)
Lineage: Eukaryota; Viridiplantae; Streptophyta; Magnoliopsida; Fabales; Fabaceae
Description: Pisum sativum (pea) long non-coding RNA (PSAT_LNC002706)
Source: RNAcentral